Molecule: ribosomal RNA, 253 nt
Filed under: uncultured microorganism
Description: partial 16S ribosomal RNA
Rfam family: Bacterial small subunit ribosomal RNA
Source: RNAcentral
UACAGAGGGUGCGAGCGUUAAUCGGAAUUACUGGGCGUAAAGCGCGCGUAGGCGGUUUGUUAAGUCGGAUGUGAAAUCCCCGGGCUCAACCUGGGAAUUGCAUUCGAUACUGGCAAGCUAGAGUAUGGUAGAGGGUGGUGGAAUUUCCUGUGUAGCGGUGAAAUGCGUAGAUAUAGGAAGGAACACCAGUGGCGAAGGCGACCACCUGGACUGAUACUGACACUGAGGUGCGAAAGCGUGGGGAGCAAACAGG